Molecule: ribosomal RNA, 436 nt
Filed under: Paguristes meloi
Lineage: Eukaryota; Metazoa; Arthropoda; Malacostraca; Decapoda; Diogenidae
Description: partial large subunit ribosomal RNA
Rfam family: Bacterial large subunit ribosomal RNA (bases 300-436)
Source: RNAcentral
UUUUAAUUGAAGGCUUGUAUGAAUGGUUGGACGAGAAAUAAACUGUUUUUUAGCAAAUAUUUGAAUUUAACUUUUAAGUGAAAAGGCUUAAAUUUUACAAAAAGACGAUAAGACCCUAUAAAUCUUAACAUUAAGUUAGAAGUUAAAAAUUAUUUGUAAGUAAAAAAUUUUAUUAUUUUUAAUAAUGUUUUAUUGGGGCGAUAUAAAUAGCUAUAAAUCUGUUUUUAAAUUAUUACAAGAAAUUAUUGCGUUAGAGAUUAAGAUCCUUAUUAAAGAGUACAAGAUUAAGUUACUUUAGGGAUAACAGCGUUAUUUUAUUUAAGAGUUCUUAUCGAAAAUAAAGUUUGCGACCUCGAUGUUGAAUUAAAAUUUCCUUAUGGUGUAGCAGCUGUACGGGAGAGUCUGUUCGACUUUUAAAAUUUUACAUGAUUUGAGU